AACGGCCAUACCAAGCUGAAUAUAUCGGUUCUCGUUAGAUCACCGAAGUCGAGCUUCAUUGGGCGUGGUCAGUACUUGGGUGGUGACCACCUGAGAACACCGCGUGCUGUU
Molecule: ribosomal RNA, 111 nt
Filed under: Caerostris extrusa
Lineage: Eukaryota; Metazoa; Arthropoda; Arachnida; Araneae; Araneidae
Source: RNAcentral